UUUCUUUAUGUUGAUGGGGGAGAUUGCUUGGGCAAUGAUUUGGAAGGAAAUAUGGUGUUGUUGAUUCCCUAGGUUUGGCAUGAGGAAUAUUCCAACAUAACAUUCUUUGUACACCUUUAGAGUAGGUUUGUCAUGAACUCAUGAUAUCUAAUAUACUUCCAAUCUUAUGAAACUUAAUGCAUUAGUGUCUGUAAGUGAAGUAUUUACUAUUCAUGUAUUAAGCACCAUCGAGUUUGUAGUGAGAGAAGCAUAUAUAACUAACUCUGCUUCUUAUCAAUAUGUAACAGGUAUAUAUGGCUACCUCAGCCAAAAAGGCUAUGGUUGUCCAUGUUAUGAAAAUAUUAUCUGCAGAUGUCAUUUGUUUUAUUGAUAUUUUAGUUUCCUGACCAUUAGUCUCUGUUCAUGACCGUCAUUUUGUUGUGGAAUUGAUUUGCUUUCAUUAUUAUUAAUUGCAUUGUGUGUUAAAAUAGUGGAAAGAGUUUGUUACUUACUGUUGUACUUUAGUUCAGAUACUAAAGUACACUCCUCAAACAAUUAUGAUUUUUAGUUUUAAGUUCUAGUAUUAAUAAUUGCAUGGAAUUCAAAAAGAUAGUUUGAGUUUGUUUAGGAUUAUUUUCUUUGAAAGGGACGAUGUUGUUCUAUGAGCUGAGAUGUUGGCCCCAUUGGCAUUGGAACUUGAAGAAGAAAGAUAGAUUUGUUUAGGGUGAAAUCAGAAGGAAGUGUGGGAUAGAUAUGCAGGGCAAUAUAUUUCAAUCUUUAUGUAUUUGUUUAGUAUAUGUCUGUGAGAUUGGAGACUGAUCAGCAGUAUGAUUUAUUAGGUUUCAGUAAUUUCUGUUCUCAAGUUAGGUCCUUUUAUGAGAAAUUUAAGAGAAGCAAUUCCAUUUAAGGUUUGAAGUAAGAUUUAAAAUGUUGUUUGACAGGGCAAUCGUGAUGGGCCUGAUGCUUCAUACCAACACAAAGCAACUGAUUAGAGGACAAAAUUACCAAGAUGCAUUGGAAGUGCUCAGCAUUGGGGAGUCAUUACAAAAAUUUGACAAGGACAGGAAGCACUGAGAGCUUUCGGUAUGGUACAUAUCCCAAUCAAGAACUUCAUGGCUUGAUACCUGAUCAAUUAUGAAGAAGAUGAAGUGGUGGCUGAAGGAAAGAUAUCUUCAACAAACCCAAGUACAAGAGUAAACCGGGAAGUAAUCUGCUGUACUAGAUGCCCAAAGAAUUCAGAACUUUGUGAUGCAUGUUUUGUAAAGAAUUAUGUAUCAGAACUUCAAUGAAAUGUAUAUUUUUCUUUUA
Long non-coding RNA from Rosa rugosa (rugosa rose), 1287 nucleotides. RefSeq lists it as uncharacterized. The transcript is spliced from 2 exons. The record is from RefSeq and is a predicted model, not a curated record. NCBI's taxonomy places the organism in Eukaryota, Viridiplantae, Streptophyta, Magnoliopsida, Rosales, Rosaceae.